This 598-nucleotide ribosomal RNA is filed under the name Granulobasidium vellereum. RNAcentral's name for it is "eukaryotic LSU rRNA". It matches the Rfam family "Eukaryotic large subunit ribosomal RNA", at positions 66 to 648 of the family's 3401-position model. Lineage: Eukaryota; Fungi; Basidiomycota; Agaricomycetes; Agaricales; Cyphellaceae. The record is from RNAcentral.
UAACAAGGAUUCCCCUAGUAACUGCGAGUGAAGCGGGAAGAGCUCAAAUUUAAAAUCUGGCAGCCUCCGGUUGUCCGAGUUGUAAUUUAGAGAAGUAUUACCCGCGCUGGACCGUGUACAAGUCUCCUGGAAAGGAGCAUCAUAGAGGGUGAUAAUCCCGUCUUUGACACGGACUCCCAGGGCUUUGUGGUAUGCUCUCGAAGAGUCGAGUUGUUUGGGAAUGCAGCUCAAAAUGGGUGGUAAAUUCCAUCUAAAGCUAAAUAUAGGCGAGAGACCGAUAGCGAACAAGUACCGUGAGGGAAAGAUGAAAAGAACUUUGGAAAGAGAGUUAAACAGUACGUGAAAUUGCUGAAAGGGAAACGCUUGAAGUCAGUCGCGUCGGCUGGGAAUCAACCUUGCUCUUGCUUGGUGUACUUCCCAGCAGACGGGCCAACAUCAGUUUUGACCGCUGGAGAAAGGUUGAGGGAAUGUGGCAUCUUCGGAUGUGUUAUAGCCCUUAGUCAUAUACAGCGGUUGGGACUGAGGAACUCAGCACGCCGCAAGGCAGGGCUUCGGCCACUUACGUGCUUAGGAUGUUGGCAUAAUGGCUUUAAUCGAC